UACGUAGGGUGCGAGCGUUAAUCGGAAUUACUGGGCGUAAAGGGCGCGUAGGCGGCUCAUGAAGGCUGUGGUGAAAGUCCGGGGCUCAACCUCGGAUCGGCCGUGGCGACUCGUGGGCUGGAGCACUGUAGAGGCGGGUGGAAUUCCGGGUGUAGCGGUGGAAUGCGUAGAGAUCCGGAAGAACACCAGUGGCGAAGGCGGCCCGCUGGGCAGUGGCUGACGCUGAGGCGCGACAGCGUGGGGAGCAAACAGG
Molecule: ribosomal RNA, 253 nt
Filed under: uncultured bacterium
Lineage: Bacteria
Description: partial 16S ribosomal RNA
Rfam family: Bacterial small subunit ribosomal RNA
Source: RNAcentral